GGGCCAUUAGCUUAGUCAGGUUAGAGCAAUCGACUUAUAAUCGAUGGUCACCGGUUCAAAUCCGGUAUGGCCCA
This 74-nucleotide transfer RNA is filed under the name Candidatus Aenigmatarchaeota archaeon. RNAcentral describes it as "tRNA-Ile". It matches the Rfam family "tRNA". From Rfam's summary of the family: Transfer RNA (tRNA) molecules are approximately 80 nucleotides in length. Their secondary structure includes four short double-helical elements and three loops (D, anti-codon, and T loops). Lineage: Archaea; Nanobdellati; Candidatus Aenigmatarchaeota. The record is from RNAcentral.